This 160-nucleotide small nuclear RNA is filed under the name Jaculus jaculus (lesser Egyptian jerboa). Its description in RNAcentral is "U1 spliceosomal RNA (ENSJJAG00000006724.1)". It matches the Rfam family "U1 spliceosomal RNA". From Rfam's summary of the family: U1 is a small nuclear RNA (snRNA) component of the spliceosome (involved in pre-mRNA splicing). Its 5' end forms complementary base pairs with the 5' splice junction, thus defining the 5' donor site of an intron. Lineage: Eukaryota; Metazoa; Chordata; Mammalia; Rodentia; Dipodidae. The record is from RNAcentral.
AUACUUACCUGGCAGGGGAGAUACCAUGAUCGCAAAGAUGAUUUUCCCAGAGAAAGGCUUAUCCAUUGCACUCUGGAUGUGCUGACCCCUGUGAUUUCCCCAAAUGCGGGAAACUCGACUGCAUAAUUUGUGGUAGUGAAAGUCUGCAUUCAUGCUCUCC